Podarcis lilfordi (Lilford's wall lizard) is the source of this 73-nucleotide non-coding RNA. The record is from the annotation of a GenBank genome assembly. NCBI's taxonomy places the organism in Eukaryota, Metazoa, Chordata, Lepidosauria, Squamata, Lacertidae.
GGCAAAUGUGGUGUAGUGGUUAGAGUUUCAGGCUAGGACCUUGGAGAUCAGGGUUCAAGUCCCCACUUGGCCA